AACAGCAGGCCCAACUUCCACAUCAAAUGACCCAAACAAUAAAAAAGCCUAAAGCCCACCUAGCCCAACAAACUAAACAUUUUCAGCAACAAAAAAACCCUAGCCACCAAGUUUUCAGCCGCCACUCCCCUCACCCUUGGCCAUCACGCGCACCACCCACGCACGCCCCUCACCUCCUCGUGAGCCACCCACAUCUGACACACCUGCAACAGAGACAAAAACAACAGCAAGAGAAAGCAUGCGAGGGAUGGUGGAAGAAAUAAAAAAAGAACGAAAACAAAAAAAUAAAAGAUGAAUGUUUUGUAGAUCGGCCUUAAAAAGCCAAAAUCUAUCAUUUGUAAAGGGGGGAUUUUACAAAGAUUGAAAAAGAGACAAUCACAAAAAUCCCUCUGAACUUCGAAUACAAAGGAAAAAUCAAUAAAAAGGUUUGCAUUUUUUUAUUUUUCUCUCUUCUUUCGAAUCUUUUUUUUUGUUUUUUUUUCCUUCUUUCUAUAUACAUAUACAUAUAUAUUAUUAAAAACAAAAAACAAAAAAGUUACAUUUUGAACUUCCGGCCACC
Molecule: long non-coding RNA, 559 nt
Filed under: Gossypium barbadense (sea-island cotton)
Lineage: Eukaryota; Viridiplantae; Streptophyta; Magnoliopsida; Malvales; Malvaceae
Description: long non-coding RNA (GBAR_LNC007744)
Source: RNAcentral